UCGGAGUCUCCACCAAUCAGGAAGCUUCCCGCGAAAUUCUGCCGCCCUGAACAGCUGAGAGGAGGAGAGCGGGAAGUAGACGAGACUGAACCACUGUUGUCAUUUUCACCUUUAUAUCUGUUUCCUGGUAGCCGCCAUGGACGAGGAAUGUGAGAUAGUGGGAGAGGUAGGGUGGCAAGGCGUGACCGUGACCAGUCCUCUCACAACCCCUCUCACAAAAAAAUUGAAACAAAGUCGGCUGCCAUUUGCUCCAUUAGACUCUCGGACACCGCACAGCCCCGGCCCACCCCGCCCCUCCCCUGACUCUCAAACACCCAAGAGGAGGCGUCUGUCUGCCAGCGGAGGAGGAGGAGGAGGAGAGAUAGAAAAAAGAAAGAGAGGAAGACCUAAGAUGACUGGAAGGAAGAGUUCCUCCAAUAUGGCUGACAAGAAGAAAGAGAAAGAGGAAGAAGAGGAGGAGGAGGAGAGUCCAGUAGCAAAGAAGAGACCAAUAGAGAAGACACGAAAGCUCCUCCCUGUCUUCCUCCCCUCUGCUUCCUCCUCCUCCUCUUCCUCUUCCUCCUCGUCUUCGUUGAAAAAGAAGGAGGAGAAAGAGAAUGUUU
Portunus trituberculatus (swimming crab) is the source of this 602-nucleotide long non-coding RNA. RefSeq lists it as uncharacterized. The transcript is spliced from 4 exons. The record is from RefSeq and is a predicted model, not a curated record. NCBI's taxonomy places the organism in Eukaryota, Metazoa, Arthropoda, Malacostraca, Decapoda, Portunidae.